This 399-nucleotide ribosomal RNA is filed under the name uncultured bacterium. Its description in RNAcentral is "bacterial SSU rRNA". It matches the Rfam family "Bacterial small subunit ribosomal RNA", at positions 28 to 420 of the family's 1533-position model. The record is from RNAcentral.
GACGAACGCUGGCGGCGUGCCUAACACAUGCAAGUGGAGCGACGAACCAGGGCUUGCCCUGGAGCAGAGCCGCGAACGGGUGAGUAACACGUGGGUAACCUGCCCCGAUGACCGGGACAACCCGAGGAAACUCGGGCUAAUACCGGAUGUGAUGUCCACACACAAAGUGUGUCCAUCAAAGGAAGCUUCGGCCUCCACAUCGGGGAUGGGCCCGCGGCCCAUUAGCAGUUGGUGGGUAAAGGCCUACCAAGGCAACGAUGGGUAGCUGGUCUGAGAGGACGAUCAGCCACACUGGGACUGAGACACGGCCCAGGACUCCUACGGGAGGCAGCAGUGGGAAUCUUGCGCAAUGCGCGAAAGCGUGACGCAGCAACGCCGCGUGAGGGAAGACGGCCUGGU